GGACUCAUGCGCUGACCGUUGCCUUGUACGACAGAUCGUGUGCAUUCACUGUCACCAGCGACCUGGUGGGACGUUGGUGCUGGUUAAUCAGGAUGGUAUCCAGCACCCCCCCCUCCACUUCCCCCCCGGCGGCCAUCUCCUGGCCUUCCUGUCCUGCCUGGAGACGGGCCUGCUGCCCCGUGGUCAGCUGGAGCCUCCACUCUGGAGCCAGAGAGGCAAGGGUAAGGUGUUUCCUAAGCUAAGGAAGAGGACCAGCACAGUCAGGCUGGUAGAUCAGGAGGGUGAGGAACAGACAGCAGCUGACUAUGUGUUCCGCAUCGUCUAUCCUGGACACCACCACG
Molecule: long non-coding RNA, 341 nt
Organism: Salvelinus sp. IW2-2015
Lineage: Eukaryota; Metazoa; Chordata; Actinopteri; Salmoniformes; Salmonidae
Source: RefSeq, a predicted model, not a curated record